This 1569-nucleotide ribosomal RNA is filed under the name uncultured bacterium. RNAcentral's name for it is "bacterial SSU rRNA". It matches the Rfam family "Bacterial small subunit ribosomal RNA". The record is from RNAcentral.
AGAGUUUGAUCCUGGCUCAGGACGAACGUUGGCGGCGUGCUUAACACAUGCAAGUCGAGCGGUUCUCGUAGUUUACUUCGAGGAUAGCGGCGGACGGGUGAGUAACGCGUGGAUAAUCUGGCGUGCUUAACACAUGCAAGUCGAGCGGUUCUCGUAGUUUACUUCGAGGAUAGCGGCGGACGGGUGAGUAACGCGUGGAUAAUCUGCCUGUAAGACAGGGAUAACGCCGGGAAACCGGUGCUAAUACCGGAUAACCUCUUUGGAUCGCAUGAUAUGAAGAGAAAAGGUGGCCUCUUUACAAUGCUACCACUUACAGAUGAAUCCGCGUCCCAUUAGCCAGUUGGUGGGGUAAAGGCCUACCAAAGCGACGAUGAGAGGGUGACCGGCCACACUGGAACUGAGAUACGGUCCAGACUCCUACGGGAGGCAGCAGUGGGGAAUCUUCCGCAAUGGGCGAAAGCCUGACGGAGCAACGCCGCGUGAGCGAAGAAGGUUUUCGGAUUGUAAAGCUCUGUGAUAUUGGACGAACGAUUUCCCGUAAAUAAUGGGAAAGAAUGACGGUACAAUAAGAGGAAGCCCCGCGGUAAUACGUAGGUGGCAAACGUUGUCCGGAAUUACUGGGCGUAAAGGGCGAGUAGGUGGUUUAUUAAGUCAGAAGUGAAAACUCCAGGCUCAACUUGGAGACUGCUUCUGAAACUGGUAGACUUGAGUGCAAGAGAGGGAAGUGGAAUUCCUAGUGUAGCGGUGAAAUGCGUAGAUAUUACACAGAAUAUCGAUUGCGAAGGCAGCUCACAAAGCCAUUAUUGACGCUGAGGCGCGAAAGCGUGGGGAUCAAACAGGAUUAGAUACCCUGGUAGUCCACGCCGUAAACGAUGAGUGCUAGGUGUCGGGGGUAUCGACCCCCUCGGUGCCACAGCUAACGCAAUAAGCACUCCGCCUGGGGAGUACGGUCGCAAGACUGAAACUCAAAGGAAUUGACGGGGGCCCGCACAAGCGGUGGAGUAUGUGGUUUAAUUCGACGCAACGCGAAGAACCUUACCAAGGCUUGACAUCCCGUGACAGCCAUAGAAAUAUGGUCUUAUAGGUUUAACAUCUAUACACGGAGACAGGUGGUGCAUGGUUGUCGUCAGCUCGUGAGAUGUUGGGUUAAGUCCCGCAACGAGCGCAACCCUCGCCCUUAGUUGCCAGCAUUAAGUUGGGCACUCUAAGGAGACUGCCGUUGACAAAACGGAGGAAGGUGGGGAUGACGUCAAAUCAUCAUGCCCCUUAUGUCUUGGGCUACACACGUACUACAAUGGCCUGAACAGAGGGAAGCAAAACUGCGAAGUUAAGCCAACCCCUUAAAACAGGUCCCAGUUCGGAUUGUAGGCUGCAACUCGCCUACAUGAAGUCGGAAUCGCUAGUAAUCGCAGGUCAGCAUACUGCGGUGAAUACGUUCCCGGGCCUUGUACACACCGCCCGUCACACCACGAAAGUCGGCAACACCCGAAGCCGGUGACUCAACCCGAAAGGGAGAGAGCCGUCGAAGGUGGGGUUGGUAAUUGGGGUGAAGUCGUAACAAGGUAACCU